GCCAAACUACAUCUUUUUUUCUGGACUAUUUUAUUCCUCAGUCUUGACCCCAAAUCCAACUUUCUGGGCCGAACCCAUGACAUCAUAAUCUGUCUGUUGCCAUCGACACAAACAGAAGUCCUAGGUGUGGAGGCAUGGCAGAGCUGUCAGAACACCUGGGGUCGACAUCCGACACUCUGUGUGAUUUUGGACAAGUUCCCACUCCUCUCGGAGCUGGUUCCUCAUCUGAAAAAUGAGGUUGCAAUACCUACCUCUGAGAUGGGGAGGGGAUCGAAUAAAAUAAGAGGUGUCAUAGCCCCGAGGAAGCGAGAAGUAAUUCCUUCAACAGCUACUCAGGAAGCACCUGGCACUGUUGCUGUCAAACAGGACGAAAAAAGGACCCGCCCUCUUGGAGUUUCCAUUCGAAGGGGGCAUUUGCACUGGAGUUAUUUGCCGGACCAGCUCUUCCUGAAGGAGCCUGUCUCUAUUUGUGAAACCACCAAGUUCCCCAUCACGUCAGAACCUCAGGAUCGUCUCUGACAGCUUUAGGACGAGAUCUCUCAAAGCUCAGGAUCCCACUGAGGAAUGCCAUUCCGUGGCUCCUGAAACCUCGGGGCUACCCCUCACCCUGAAGAUGGGCACACCCUGAGACAUCACAGCUCAGCGACUCACUGGGAGCCAGGAUGGCCAGGGUAGGCGAAGCCAAGAAGUUCCUUUAUGAUCUGACCUUUUUGGUUCCUGCUUCUUGCCCAGUGCAGCCAUGGGCAUUUUGGACACUCACUGAGAGAACUGAUGUAAAAAAAGCUCUGCAGAUGGGGAGGAUUACAACAAAGCUCUCGUGGAUGAGAGAGGCAGAAUUUCAUUUCAGCUUCACAGGAUUGUUCGAUCCUCACUGGGGAGGAGGUAACUUCUUUGGCAUGAGAGUUGAUGUGACACUGAGAUGAGAGGAAUAGGUGAGCAAAGCCUGUUUGGCGACCAGGAAGAAGAGUUGUGGGAACCAGUACCUCAAGAACUGGAGAAAAUUCUGGACCUUCACAAUUAUUACCACCAAACACUACCAACUGCCAUCACCAAGCUUCAACAAUCUCUCCCUUAGACAGCUAUCCAUUAUGGAAAUACCUGCUCAGCAUGGUUCUUCCUAAAAAUGUUGCUCUAUAUCAUGACAGUCAUUAUACACUACCUCCCAAC
RNAcentral lists this long non-coding RNA (1167 nucleotides) under Equus caballus (horse). RNAcentral describes it as "lncRNA (ENSECAG00000038269.3)". The record is from RNAcentral. Lineage: Eukaryota; Metazoa; Chordata; Mammalia; Perissodactyla; Equidae.